AAUUUUAAAAUGAGAUGAUAUUUUCGGAUAACAAUUGUGUAGUGACAUAGGUGAACAGUUAGCAGAUGAUACUGAAACUGUAAUUCAAACCGCUGGUAAAAUCUAUACGAAUGUGAAAGAAACCAUUGCUGCUAAUAAGUAUCUAACCAAAAAAGUUGACAUGAUUGAGAAAGAGGAACAAUAGAUAAUUAUACAUGAGAAUUGUUAGCUUAUAGAGUGUGAUGCAUUCGAAGAGGAUGAAAAUUAUUCUUGUCACAUUUUGUGAAAUCCCUGUUGUGCUGUUUGCUAACUAUAAUGUUGUUCAUCAUGUGUCAUGUAAGUAAGUGCUCUUUGGAGUGAUCUGUAUCACGGAGAUCGACAAUUAUCAUUAGUCAUUCUAGAGCACAGUUGUUUAUAA
RNAcentral lists this long non-coding RNA (397 nucleotides) under Cicer arietinum (chickpea). RNAcentral's name for it is "long non-coding RNA (CARI_LNC000099)". Lineage: Eukaryota; Viridiplantae; Streptophyta; Magnoliopsida; Fabales; Fabaceae. The record is from RNAcentral.